Homo sapiens (human) is the source of this 201-nucleotide long non-coding RNA. RefSeq lists it as uncharacterized. The transcript is spliced from 3 exons. The record is from RefSeq and is a predicted model, not a curated record. Lineage: Eukaryota; Metazoa; Chordata; Mammalia; Primates; Hominidae.
UACAGCCAAACUUUAAAAAAUGGGGGAGAAAAGUUCCCUCCAUUCAUCCCAGUUUUUACCAUUAUUUAAUAGCUUCCAAUACCCAGUUAGAUCUGAAAUGUUUACCCUGUAGAAGAUGGAAUUAUUUCUAUUUGCAUGGAAAACUCAGAAAGCAAAGACAAUGAGCUCAUGAGCAACUUGAGUACAGAUAUCAGCCUUAUU